UGAGGAAUAUUGGUCAAUGGGCGUAGGCCUGAACCAGCCAAGUAGCGUGAAGGAUGACUGCCCUAUGGGUUGUAAACUUCUUUUAUAUGGGAAUAAAGUUUUCCACGUGUGGAAUUUUGUAUGUACCAUAUGAAUAAGGAUCGGCUAACUCCGUGCCAGCAGCCGCGGUAAUACGGAGGAUCCGAGCGUUAUCCGGAUUUAUUGGGUUUAAAGGGAGCGUAGGUGGACAGUUAAGUCAGUUGUGAAAGUUUGCGGCUCAACCGUAAAAUUGCAGUUGAUACUGGCUGUCUUGAGUACAGUAGAGGUGGGCGGAAUUCGUGGUGUAGCGGUGAAAUGCUUAGAUAUCACGAAGAACUCCGAUUGCGAAGGCAGCUCACUGGACUGCAACUGACACUGAUGCUCGAAAGUGUGGGUAUCAAACAGG
RNAcentral lists this ribosomal RNA (424 nucleotides) under uncultured bacterium. RNAcentral describes it as "bacterial SSU rRNA". It matches the Rfam family "Bacterial small subunit ribosomal RNA", at positions 355 to 776 of the family's 1533-position model. The record is from RNAcentral.